CUAGCCAUUCAGAAUCCUGAGGUGUAUGUUGGCUGUAGCAUAUUCAUUGUAGGAACCAGAUUAAACCAAGAUGGGAUCUAUCAACUUCGGUAGAUGAGAGGAGUAGUCCUAUGAUGAUCGAAAGAUCGAGUCCUUAAGCGCAUGGCCAUGACAGAGUGAAAUAAUCGAAAAGAGUUUUCUUUUGGGGUUUCACAUCAGACUCGGAUCAAUCGAUUGAUU
This 219-nucleotide long non-coding RNA is filed under the name Elaeis guineensis (African oil palm). RNAcentral's name for it is "long non-coding RNA (EGUI_LNC059576)". The record is from RNAcentral. Lineage: Eukaryota; Viridiplantae; Streptophyta; Magnoliopsida; Arecales; Arecaceae.